RNAcentral lists this ribosomal RNA (451 nucleotides) under uncultured bacterium. RNAcentral's name for it is "partial 16S ribosomal RNA". It matches the Rfam family "Bacterial small subunit ribosomal RNA", at positions 29 to 523 of the family's 1533-position model. The record is from RNAcentral.
AACGAACGCUGGCGGCAGGCUUAACACAUGCAAGUCGAACGGGCGUAGCAAUACGUCAGUGGCAGACGGGUGAGUAACACGUGGGAAUAUCCCUUUCAGUUCGGAAUAACUCAGGGAAACUUGAGCUAAUACCGGAUACGUCCUUCGGGAGAAAGAUUUAUCGCUGAGAGAUUAGCCCGCGUCUGAUUAGCUAGCUGGUGAGGUAAUGGCUCACCAAGGCGACGAUCAGUAGCUGGUCUGAGAGGAUGAUCAGCCACACUGGGACUGAGACACGGCCCAGACUCCUACGGGAGGCAGCAGUGGGGAAUAUUGGACAAUGGGGGAAACCCUGAUCCAGCCAUGCCGCGUGAGUGAUGAAGGCCUUAGGGUUGUAAAGCUCUUUUGCCAGGGAAGAUAAUGACUGUACCUGGAGAAUAAGCCCCGGCUAACUUCGUGCCAGCAGCCGCCGUAA